GAUGAACGCUGGCGGCGUGCCUAAUACAUGCAAGUCGAGCGAACAGACGAGGAGCUUGCUCCUCUGACGUUAGCGGCGGACGGGUGAGUAACACGUGGAUAACCUACCUAUAAGACUGGGAUAACUUCGGGAAACCGGGGCUAAUACCGGAUAAUAUAUUGAACCGCAUGGUUCAAUAGUGAAAGACGGUUUUGCUGUCACUUAUAGAUGGAUCCGCGCCGCAUUAGCUAGUUGGUAAGGUAACGGCUUACCAAGGCAACGAUGCGUAGCCGACCUGAGAGGGUGAUCGGCCACACUGGAACUGAGACACGGUCCAGACUCCUACGGGAGGCAGCAGUAGGGAAUCUUCCGCAAAGGGCGAAAGCUUGACGGAGCAACGCCGCGUGAGUGAUGAAGGUCUUCGGAUCGUAAAACUCUGUUAUUAGGGAAGAACAAAUGUGUAAGUAACUAUGCACGUCUUGACGGUACCUAAUCAGAAAGCCACGGCUAACUACGUG
This 497-nucleotide ribosomal RNA is filed under the name uncultured bacterium. RNAcentral's name for it is "partial 16S ribosomal RNA". It matches the Rfam family "Bacterial small subunit ribosomal RNA", at positions 28 to 507 of the family's 1533-position model. The record is from RNAcentral.